RNAcentral lists this ribosomal RNA (253 nucleotides) under uncultured bacterium. Its description in RNAcentral is "partial 16S ribosomal RNA". It matches the Rfam family "Bacterial small subunit ribosomal RNA", at positions 524 to 776 of the family's 1533-position model. The record is from RNAcentral.
UACGUAGGGUGCGAGCGUUAAUCGGAAUUUCUGGGCGUAAAGCGUGCGCAGGCGGUUCUUUAUGUCCGAUGUGAAAGCCCCGAGCUUAACUUGGGAAUGGCAUUGGAAACUGGCGGGCUGGAGUGCGGCAGAGGGGGGUGGAAUUCCACGUGUAGCAGUGAAAUGCGUAGAGAUGUGGAGGAACACCGAUGGCGAAGGCAGCCCCCUGGGCCGACACUGACGCUCAGGCACGAAAGCGUGGGGAGCAAACAGG